RNAcentral lists this transfer RNA (68 nucleotides) under Calyptotis temporalis. RNAcentral's name for it is "tRNA-His". It matches the Rfam family "tRNA". From Rfam's summary of the family: Transfer RNA (tRNA) molecules are approximately 80 nucleotides in length. Their secondary structure includes four short double-helical elements and three loops (D, anti-codon, and T loops). The record is from RNAcentral. Lineage: Eukaryota; Metazoa; Chordata; Lepidosauria; Squamata; Scincidae.
GUUAAUAUAGUUUAACAAAACAUUGGGUUGUGGGCCCAAAGAUAGAAGUUCGACCCUUCUUAUAGACC